Molecule: ribosomal RNA, 437 nt
Filed under: Wolbachia pipientis
Lineage: Bacteria; Pseudomonadati; Pseudomonadota; Alphaproteobacteria; Rickettsiales; Anaplasmataceae
Description: bacterial SSU rRNA
Rfam family: Bacterial small subunit ribosomal RNA
Source: RNAcentral
CAUACCUAUUCGAAGGGAUAGGGUCGGCUCGGCCGGAUUUUACACAAGUGUUGCAUGGCUGUCGUCAGCUCGUGUCGUGAGAUGUUGGGUUAAGUCCCGCAACGAGCGCAACCCUCAUCCUUAGUUACCAUCAGGUUAUGCUGGGGACCUUAAGGAAACUGCCAGUGAUAAACUGGAGGAAGGUGGGGAUGAUGUCAAGUCAUCAUGGCCCUUAUGGAGUGGGCUACACACGUGCUAUAAUGGUGAUUACAAUGGGCUGCAAGGUCGCAAGGCUGAGCUAAUCCUAAAAAAUCAUCUCAGUUCGGAUUGUUCUCUGCAACUCGAGAGCAUGAAGUUGGAAUCGCUAGUAAUCGUGGAUCAGCAUGCCACGGUGAAUACGUUCUCGGGUCUUGUACACACUGCCCGUCACGCCAUGGGAAUUGGUUUCACUCGAAGCU